RNAcentral lists this ribosomal RNA (939 nucleotides) under Lentinus brumalis. RNAcentral's name for it is "partial large subunit ribosomal RNA". It matches the Rfam family "Eukaryotic large subunit ribosomal RNA", at positions 38 to 962 of the family's 3401-position model. The record is from RNAcentral. Lineage: Eukaryota; Fungi; Basidiomycota; Agaricomycetes; Polyporales; Polyporaceae.
GCAUAUCAAUAAGCGGAGGAAAAGAAACUAACAAGGAUUCCCCUAGUAACUGCGAGUGAAGCGGGAAAAGCUCAAAUUUAAAAUCUGGCGGUCUUUGGCCGUCCGAGUUGUAGUCUGGAGAAGUGCUUUCCGCGCUGGACCGUGUAUAAGUCUCUUGGAACAGAGCGUCAUAGAGGGUGAGAAUCCCGUCUUUGACACGGACUACCAGUGCUUUGUGAUGCGCUCUCAAAGAGUCGAGUUGUUUGGGAAUGCAGCUCAAAAUGGGUGGUGAAUUCCAUCUAAAGCUAAAUAUUGGCGAGAGACCGAUAGCGAACAAGUACCGUGAGGGAAAGAUGAAAAGCACUUUGGAAAGAGAGUUAAACAGUACGUGAAAUUGCUGAAAGGGAAACGCUUGAAGUCAGUCGCGUUUGCCGGAACUCAGCCUUCCUUUUGGUUGGUGCACUUUCCGGUAGACGGGCCAGCAUCGAUUUCGACCGUCGGAUAAGGGCUGGGGAAAUGUGGCACCUUUCGGGGUGUGUUAUAGUCCUCAGUCGCAUACGUCGGUUGGGAUCGAGGAUCGCAGCGCGCCGCAAGGCAGGGGUUCGCCCACUUUCGCGCUUAGGAUGCUGGCAUAAUGGCUUUAAACGACCCGUCUUGAAACACGGACCAAGGAGUCUAACAAACCUGCGAGUGUUUGGGUGGAAAACCCGAGCGCGUAAUGAAAGUGAAAGUUGAGACCUCUGUCGUGGAGGGCAUCGACGCCCGGACCUGAAGUUCUCUGACGGUUCCGCGGUAGAGCAUGUUUGUUGGGACCCGAAAGAUGGUGAACUAUGCCUGAAUAGGGUGAAGCCAGAGGAAACUCUGGUGGAGGCUCGUAGCGAUUCUGACGUGCAAAUCGAUCGUCAAAUUUGGGUAUAGGGGCGAAAGACUAAUAGAACCAUCUAGUAGCUGGUUCCUGCG